This 376-nucleotide long non-coding RNA is filed under the name Pan troglodytes (chimpanzee). RNAcentral's name for it is "long non-coding RNA NONPTRT016932". Lineage: Eukaryota; Metazoa; Chordata; Mammalia; Primates; Hominidae. The record is from RNAcentral.
CCUCAAAUAACAACUGGUGAUUUUGUGAUGUGAAAUUGUGCAUAUUUUCAAGUACAGCAUGGCUCCCUUCUGGGUAAUAACAAACACAUAAAUCCAUGCAUGUUUUUUCCUUUAAUUGGACAACUUUUAAUACAUAUAAUUUGUUUACAGUUACAUAAUUGGCCUGUCCCGUACCAUGAAGGCGUUGCAGCUGCCAUGCAUAGAAUUAAUUGAUGGCACACUGUUCUUCCUUUCCCCUUCUUCACCCCUAAAUACCGCUACCACUAAAAUAAACAGUCUCUGCAUGAGAAAGAAGAAAAAAAAAUCAUGAAUAAGCAGCCCUCUCAGCUUAACUAGGACCCUUUCUCUAUCCAGCUCAAAUUUAAGUGAUUUAAAA